UUAAUAGGCUCUUCCUUCAUCAGUCAACAGUUUCCUCAGGGCUGCCAGGACUCUGAGGUCACAGACAAGCCUUAGUGGUGCAACCAGACUCAGCUGUACCUGUCCAUGACAUCUGGUGACCUGAAUCCCAGCUUGCAGACUGACUUCCUGACUUGAACUUGGACCUGACUCAUCCUCAUGCAUUUCCUUGGUGAUCCAGGCUCUUGUCUGGACCUGUCCACCAUCUCUUUGUCUGCACAGAGCAGACCCUUGCUGUUCCCUCACUCUGGCUGAGGGCAGUAUUUUGGCACGAAAGUGCUGUACCUCUGCGAGCUCAUGUCUACUGCCCUUAGGCAUGGUUUGCUUCAUCCACACCUAGUGUGACACAGCAUUGAAAACUAAUGAACAUAUGUCACCUGAUACAAGCCAAAAUAUGGCUCAUUGGUCUAGUGUGAACAAGCUGGGGGAAAAGGAGAAGUCUAGGGAGACAGGACCAGGAAAUCAGACAGAAAAAAUUGCCAGUGAUUCCAGGAUGUUCCCAUCUGCUGUGAUGACAACAAGGAAGAUCCACCUGCUAUCAUUUUUGUGGAAACAGGGUUCUUGCUUUGAUGGCCAUGUUUCCUGA
RNAcentral lists this long non-coding RNA (604 nucleotides) under Anas platyrhynchos platyrhynchos (common mallard). Its description in RNAcentral is "lncRNA (ENSAPLG00000030786.1)". The record is from RNAcentral. Lineage: Eukaryota; Metazoa; Chordata; Aves; Anseriformes; Anatidae.